UACGUAGGUGGCGAGCGUUGUCCGGAUUUACUGGGCGUAAAGAGCGCGCAGGCGGUCGUUCAAGUCGCGUGUGAAAGCCCCCGGCUCAACUGGGGAGGGUCACUCGAUACUGAUCGACUUGAAGGCAGGAGAGGGAAGCGGAAUUCCCGGUGUAGUGGUGAAAUGCGUAGAUAUCGGGAGGAACACCAGUGGCGAAGGCGGCUUCCUGGCCUGCUCUUGACGCUGAGGCGCGAAAGCUAGGGUAGCAAACGGG
This 253-nucleotide ribosomal RNA is filed under the name uncultured bacterium. RNAcentral's name for it is "partial 16S ribosomal RNA". It matches the Rfam family "Bacterial small subunit ribosomal RNA", at positions 524 to 776 of the family's 1533-position model. The record is from RNAcentral.